UACAGAGGGGGCAAGCGUUGUUCGGAAUUACUGGGCGUAAAGGGCGCGUAGGCGGUGUGUCAAGUCAGGCGUGAAAGCCCCGGGCUCAACCUGGGAACCGCGCUUGAGACUGGCACGCUAGAGUUCGGGAGAGGAUGGUGGAAUUCCCAGUGUAGAGGUGAAAUUCGUAGAUAUUGGGAAGAACACCGAUGGCGAAGGCAGCCAUCUGGACCGACACUGACGCCGAGGCGCGAAAGCGUGGGGAGCAAACAGG
RNAcentral lists this ribosomal RNA (253 nucleotides) under uncultured bacterium. RNAcentral describes it as "partial 16S ribosomal RNA". It matches the Rfam family "Bacterial small subunit ribosomal RNA", at positions 524 to 776 of the family's 1533-position model. The record is from RNAcentral.